RNAcentral lists this ribosomal RNA (475 nucleotides) under uncultured bacterium. Its description in RNAcentral is "partial 16S ribosomal RNA". It matches the Rfam family "Bacterial small subunit ribosomal RNA", at positions 28 to 507 of the family's 1533-position model. The record is from RNAcentral.
GAUGAACGCUAGCGGCAGGCCUAACACAUGCAAGUCGAGGGAUAAGCCUUCGGGCUAAGACCGGCGCACGGGUGCGUAACGCGUAUACAAUCUGCCUUUUAUCCGGGGGAUAGCCCGAAGAAAUUUGGAUUAAUACCCUAUGGUAUAAGAGCACGGCAUCGUGCACUUAUUAAAGCUACGGCGGUAAAAGAUGAGUAUGCGUUCUAUUAGCUAGUUGGAGAGGUAACGGCUCCCCAAGGCGACGAUAGAUAGGGGUUCUGAGAGGGAUGUCCCCCACACUGGUACUGAGAUACGGACCAGACUCCUACGGGAGGCAGCAGUGAGGAAUAUUGGACAAUGGUCGGAAGACUGAUCCAGCCAUGCCGCGUGCAGGAUGACGGCCUUAUGGGUUGUAAACUGCUUUUGUAAGGGAAGAAUAAGGAGUACGUGUACUUUGAUGACGGUACCUUACGAAUAAGCAGCGGCUAACUCCGUG